RNAcentral lists this ribosomal RNA (467 nucleotides) under uncultured bacterium. Its description in RNAcentral is "bacterial SSU rRNA". It matches the Rfam family "Bacterial small subunit ribosomal RNA", at positions 330 to 795 of the family's 1533-position model. The record is from RNAcentral.
GCCAGACUCCUACGGGAGGCAGCAGUGGGGAAUAUUGCACAAUGGGGGAAACCCUGAUGCAGCGACGCCGCGUGAGUGAAGAAGUAUUUCGGUAUGUAAAGCUCUAUCAGCAGGGAAGAAAUAGCGACCUUUGGGUCGCCAGACGGUACCUGAUUAAGAAGCCCCGGCUAACUACGUGCCAGCAGCCGCGGUAAUACGUAGGGGGCAAGCGUUAUCCGGAUUUACUGGGUGUAAAGGGAGCGUAGACGGCAGCGCAAGUCUGAAGUGAAAUGCCGGGGCUUAACCCCGCGGAUUGCUUUUGGAACUGUCAGGCUGGAGUGCAGGAGGGGCAGGCGGAAUUCCUGGUGUAGCGGUGAAAUGCGUAGAUAUCAGGAGGAACACCGGUGGCGAAGGCGGCCUGCUGGACUGUAACUGACGUUGAGGCUCGAAAGCGUGGGGAGCAAACAGGAUUAGAUACCCGCGUAGGA